CCUACGGGAGGCAGCAGUAGGGAAUAUUGGGCAAUGGACGCAAGUCUGACCCAGCCAUGCCGCGUGCAGGAUGAAGGCGUUAUGCGUUGUAAACUGCUUUUAUACAGGAAGUAACGACUCUUGCGAGAGGCAUUGACGGUACUGUAUGAAUAAGCACCGGCUAACUCCGUGCCAGCAGCCGCGGUAAUA
This 189-nucleotide ribosomal RNA is filed under the name uncultured bacterium. RNAcentral describes it as "partial 16S ribosomal RNA". It matches the Rfam family "Bacterial small subunit ribosomal RNA", at positions 338 to 525 of the family's 1533-position model. The record is from RNAcentral.